This 481-nucleotide ribosomal RNA is filed under the name uncultured bacterium. Its description in RNAcentral is "partial 16S ribosomal RNA". It matches the Rfam family "Bacterial small subunit ribosomal RNA", at positions 28 to 507 of the family's 1533-position model. The record is from RNAcentral.
GACGAACGUUGGCGGCGUGCUUAAUACAUGCAAGUCAACUGAAGCAGUGGUAGCAAUAUCGCUGUGGAGGUGGCGCACGGGUGAGUAACACGUAGGUAAUCUGCCUUCAGGUCUGGCAUAACUCCGGGAAACCGGGGCUAAUAGCAGAUGAUGCAGCGGCUCGACAUCGAGACAGUUGUUAAAGCUAUGGCGCCUGAAGAUGAGCCUGCGUCUGAUUAGCUAGUUGGCGGGGUAACGGCCCACCAAGGCAACGAUCAGUAGCUGGUCUGAGAGGAUGAUCAGCCACACUGGAACUGAGACACGGUCCAGACUCCUACGGGAGGCAGCAGUAAGGAAUAAUGUUCAAUGGGAGAAAUCCUGAAGCAGCAACGCCGCGUGAGGGACGAAGGGCUUUUGCUUGUAAACCUCUGUAGUGAGAGAAAAAAAUCCCAAUCUUUGGGACAUGAUGGUAUCUCAAAAGUAAGCCCCGGCUAACUACGUG